Molecule: ribosomal RNA, 359 nt
Filed under: uncultured Lactobacillus sp.
Lineage: Bacteria; Bacillati; Bacillota; Bacilli; Lactobacillales; Lactobacillaceae
Description: bacterial SSU rRNA
Rfam family: Bacterial small subunit ribosomal RNA
Source: RNAcentral
AACAGAUGAUGCCUAUCAACUGUUUAAAGUAUGGUUCUGCUAUCACUCUUGGAUGGACCUGCGGUGCAUUAGCUAGUUGGUAGGGUAACGGCCUACCAAGGCGAUGAUGCAUAGCCGAGUUGAGAGACUGAUCGGCCACAUUGGGACUGAGACACGGCCCAAACUCCUACGGGAGGCAGCAGUAGGGAAUCUUCCACAAUGGACGCAAGUCUGAUGGAGCAACGCCGCGUGAGUGAAGAAGGGUUUCGGCUCGUAAAGCUCUGUUGUUGGUGAAGAAGGACAGGGGUAGUAACUGACCUUUGUUUGACGGUAAUCAAUUAGAAAGUCACGGCUAACUACGUGCCAGCAGCCGCGGUGAU